UACGUAGGCAGCGAGCGUUGUUCGGAGUUACUGGGCGUAAAGGGUGUGUAGGCGGUUGUUUAAGUUUGGUGUGAAAUCUCCCGGCUCAACUGGGAGGGUGCGCCGAAUACUGAAUGACUAGAGUGCGGGAGAGGAAAGUGGAAUUCCUGGUGUAGCGGUGAAAUGCGUAGAUAGUCAGGAGGAACACCGGUGGUGUAGACGGCUUUCUGGACCGUAACUGACGCUGAGACACGAAAGCGUGGGUAGCAAACAGG
This 254-nucleotide ribosomal RNA is filed under the name uncultured bacterium. RNAcentral describes it as "partial 16S ribosomal RNA". It matches the Rfam family "Bacterial small subunit ribosomal RNA", at positions 524 to 776 of the family's 1533-position model. The record is from RNAcentral.